This 1372-nucleotide ribosomal RNA is filed under the name uncultured bacterium. RNAcentral describes it as "bacterial SSU rRNA". It matches the Rfam family "Bacterial small subunit ribosomal RNA", at positions 28 to 1381 of the family's 1533-position model. The record is from RNAcentral.
GAUGAACGCUGGCGGCGUGCCUAAUACAUGCAAGUCGAGCGAACGGACGAGAAGCUUGCUUCUCUGAUGUUAGCGGCGGACGGGUGAGUAACACGUGGAUAACCUACCUAUAAGACUGGGAUAACUUCGGGAAACCGGAGCUAAUACCGGAUAAUAUUUUGAACCGCAUGGUUCAAAAGUGAAAGACGGUCUUGCUGUCACUUAUAGAUGGAUCCGCGCUGCAUUAGCUAGUUGGUAAGGUAACGGCUUACCAAGGCAACGAUGCAUAGCCGACCUGAGAGGGUGAUCGGCCACACUGGAACUGAGACACGGUCCAGACUCCUACGGGAGGUAGCAGUAGGGAAUCUUCCGNCAUGGGCGAAAGCCUGACGGAGCAACGCCGCGUGAGUGAUGAAGGUCUUCGGAUCGUAAAACUCUGUUAUUAGGGAAGAACAUAUGUGUAAGUAACUGUGCACAUCUUGACGGUACCUAAUCAGAAAGCCACGGCUAACUACGUGCCAGCAGCCGCGGUAAUACGUAGGUGGCAAGCGUUAUCCGGAAUUAUUGGGCGUAAAGCGCGCGUAGGCGGUUUUUUAAGUCUGAUGUGAAAGCCCACGGCUCAACCGUGGAGGGUCAUUGGAAACUGGAAAACUUGAGUGCAGAAGAGGAAAGUGGAAUUCCAUGUGUAGCGGUGAAAUGCGCAGAGAUAUGGAGGAACACCAGUGGCGAAGGCGACUUUCUGGUCUGUAACUGACGCUGAUGUGCGAAAGCGUGGGGAUCAAACAGGAUUAGAUACCCUGGUAGUCCACGCCGUAAACGAUGAGUGCUAAGUGUUAGGGGGUUUCCGCCCCUUAGUGCUGCAGCUAACGCAUUAAGCACUCCGCCUGGGGAGUACGACCGCAAGGUUGAAACUCAAAGGAAUUGACGGGGACCCGCACAAGCGGUGGAGCAUGUGGUUUAAUUCGAAGCAACGCGAAGAACCUUACCAAAUCUUGACAUCCUUUGACAACUCUAGAGAUAGAGCCUUCCCCUUCGGGGGACAAAGUGACAGGUGGCGCAUGGUUGUCGUCAGCUCGUGUCGUGAGAUGUUGGGUUAAGUCCCGCAACGAGCGCAACCCUUAAGCUUAGUUGCCAUCAUUAAGUUGGGCACUCUAAGUUGACUGCCGGUGACAAACCGGAGGAAGGUGGGGAUGACGUCAAAUCAUCAUGCCCCUUAUGAUUUGGGCUACACACGUGCUACAAUGGACAAUACAAAGGGCAGCGAAACCGCGAGGUCAAGCAAAUCCCAUAAAGUUGUUCUCAGUUCGGAUUGUAGUCUGCAACUCGACUACAUGAAGCUGGAAUCGCUAGUAAUCGUAGAUCAGCAUGCUACGGUGAAUACGUUCCCGGGUCU